RNAcentral lists this long non-coding RNA (451 nucleotides) under Rhinopithecus roxellana (golden snub-nosed monkey). Its description in RNAcentral is "lncRNA (ENSRROG00000045886.1)". Lineage: Eukaryota; Metazoa; Chordata; Mammalia; Primates; Cercopithecidae. The record is from RNAcentral.
AUGCAGUCAAAAUGGGCGGUGGGAAAGAGAAGGAGGAAUCCUAAUGGAAGCCAAGUGAUGUCAUCCUACAGGCCAGCUUCUCUGACUCAGAGGCAGUGUGGGGAAAAGACAGAGGAAGAGCAGGGCCAAAUGGGAGAUUCCAGCACCUUCUCCUUGGGGAUUUGAAUUCUAUCUAAUAAGCCUUUCAAAGCAGGGUUAUUAGACUUCUGUGAGCCACAGACCCUUUUGAGAACUUGAAAACUAAUAAUCUCUUGGCCCAAAGACAUGCACAUAAUAACAUACACAAAUGUGGCAUGCACUUUUAGGGAGCAUUCCAUAGCUCCUUGACUCCAUCCUAAGUCUCAGUUUAAGAAAGUCUGCUGUAGUAUUAAUAAGAUUUAGGAAUCUUAUUUUUUAUCUCACAUAAAGCUGUUAAUUCUACUUUCUUUGGUGAAAUUCAAAAGAUCAAAAU